Long non-coding RNA from Mauremys mutica (yellowpond turtle), 1227 nucleotides. RefSeq lists it as uncharacterized. Lineage: Eukaryota; Metazoa; Chordata; Testudines; Geoemydidae. The record is from RefSeq and is a predicted model, not a curated record. The transcript is spliced from 4 exons.
CUUGCAGAAGGAACUAAGUCUAGGUAGCAAAGGAAGGCAGAGUAGAAAAAUAAUUCAGAGCAGGAGUACAGUGUAUAAAAGCCUGCUCCAGGAGUUGCCGUCUCAUAACAGUAAAGACAGAGCGUAGCAGAGUUCUCCCAAAAACCUGUGUGGUUUCGUAUCGAGGUAGACUGUCACAGAACUGGGGAACAUUGCAGUAACACAGCCACCUACAACAAAAAAGCCAGAUAAUUACCUCCACCUUGGAACCACUAGCAACAAAAGAAGAUUAAAUGACUAUACAAAUCCAGCAUUAGCCUGCAAAGAGUAUAUACAUCAACGUGUUAGCUGAUGCGGUGGAAGUCUGCAUUUCAGAAACAAAGUCUCUGGGUUGUAUCCUCCAAUUCUGCAUGUGUGCCAUGUAGUCGUGGAUUCAUUAAACUCACAGGGUCAGACCAACCCAAUCAUUGGAAGAUGCUGUUGAUGGCUGGAAAGAAAAUACAUACCAAAUGGGUGCUGACUUGGGACCAGACUCUGAAAUCACUGGGAAGACUUCAGAAGUUAGGUACUGUGCAACAUAAGGGUAGCAGAAUCUAGUCCAAAAUUAAAAACCUUAUUACUAUCUUGGAAAAAGGAGAGCUUAACCUACAAAUUGUCUAAGUCAAUACAAAUAUAAUGGUCCAUUAGGACAAUAAAAUUAAUGUAAGUACAAAAGAAUGAAAGAUAUGACAAGAUGCUACAUGUGUAUCUAAAGUUGCAGAAAUACAAUUGCAUGAUGUUGAAUUUUGAGAAACAUCUUCAUCUUACCUUGAACAGGUAGAAGUAAACUUGUUUUGUAUCUGCAUCUUCUUCUUUGUGGACACAGGUGAAGAGAUAUUCCACAUCCAACACUAUCCCCAACAGCCUAUUCAUUUCUUCUUCAGACACAUUCUCCAGGUGAGAAACAUGAGCAGCUAAACAAAAUAAAAAUCCAAAAAUUGUGGAAAAAAGCUAGGUGGUAGGAUGGCAUUCUAUGGUCAAUAAGACAAGACAACACAAAGGACGAACCUUGCAACCACGACCACCAUUACCACUUAAACAGCACCUUUCAUCAGAAGAACCUCAAGGCACAGGCUCCAUAUGGACAAUUUUUAUAACAGUUUACAGAUGAUACACUACGGCACAGAGAUAAGUGACUUGUACAAACUCACACAAGUCUGUGGCCAUGCUGAGAACAGAACCCACAAAUCCUGUCUGCUACUGACUUAC